Molecule: ribosomal RNA, 496 nt
Filed under: uncultured bacterium
Lineage: Bacteria
Description: partial 16S ribosomal RNA
Rfam family: Bacterial small subunit ribosomal RNA
Source: RNAcentral
GAUGAACGCUGGCGGCGUGCCUAAUACAUGCAAGUCGAGCGAACGGACGAGAAGCUUGCUUCUCUGAUGUUAGCGGCGGACGGGUGAGUAACACGUGGAUAACCUACCUAUAAGACUGGGAUAACUUCGGGAAACCGGAGCUAAUACCGGAUAAUAUUUUGAACCGCAUGGUUCAAAAGUGAAAGACGGUCUUGCUGUCACUUAUAGAUGGAUCCGCGCUGCAUUAGCUAGUUGGUAAGGUAACGGCUUACCAAGGCAACGAUGCAUAGCCGACCUGAGAGGGUGAUCGGCCACACUGGAGCUGAGACACGGUCCUGGCUCCGACGGGAGGCAGCAGGAGGGAAUCUUCCGAAAUGGGCGAAAGCCUGACUGAGCAACGGAGCGUGAGUGAUGAAGGUCUUCGGAUCGUAAAACUCUGUUAUUAGGGAAGAACAUAUGUGUAAGUAACUGUGCACAUCUGGACGGUACCUAAUCAGAAAGCCACGGCUAACUACGU